AUCAAAUAUGUAUGUGUAUGUAUAGAGAAAACUAAAAUUAUAUAUACUGCUGUUAGCAGAGGAUAUGUUUGGUUGGUGGGAUGAUAGAGUGACUUUCUAUUUUCAACAUUUUGGUAUUAUACUGACUACUUUGCAAUAUUAACAAUUUUAACAACGUUUUAUUUAGGUUGAAAUUUGCUAAGACAGUAGAAAACAACUGCUCCUCCUCACACGUAAUUAUAUGUGGUGAUGGAUGUGUUAAUUAAUUUGAUUGUUGUAAUCAUUUGACAAUGUAUUCACACAUCAAAUCACAUUGUACAUUUAAAAUAUAUACAGUUUUUGUCAAAUACUUUAUAUUUAAGAAAAAUUCAUAAAAUAAGAUAGACUAUACUAUUGGAACUUAUUAUUUCUAAAAGUAUUUUUCUCUGUAUAUGAAGAAAUAAUUGAGUAAACUUUCAAUGCACCCAUGUCCUCAUCUACAAAACUUAGUUUUGCAAGGAAUUCUGUCUUACUUACUAUAUGUGAAUAACUUCUUCUUGGCACCAUGCCUCCUAUGAUUUGUGGCGUAGGACUUGUGUUACCAUAUAUAUUAUUUUUCAAAGAUUUCAAAAUAGUUUUUACAUGUAUGUAUUCUAUAUCCUCAAUGAUAUUGUAAAUUCCUUGGUUAUUGCAUUUUCUUUCUAUUGUACCAUCUUCUGUGAUGAAUAAACAUCAAGUGCUUUGCUGGUUGAUGGUAUAAUUCAGGGGCUGCCAAACUACAGCUCAUGGAUCAAAUUUGGUGAAUCAUUUGUUUUUGUAUAGCCCUCCAGCUAAGAAUCAUUUUUACAUUUUUAGAUGACUGAAAAAAAUAACAUCUUGUAACAUAAAAAUUAUAUGAAAUUCAAGUUUCAUUGCCCAUAUACAAAAUCUUAUUGGAGUGCAGGUACAUUUGUUUACAUAUUGUCUAUGGCUGCUUUCAUGCUCCAACAUCAGAGUUUUAACAAAGACUGUAUGUCCCGCAAAGCCAAAAAUAAUUACUUGUCAGUUUCUUACUAAAAAAGUUUGCCAGCCCGUCUUAACAUAAUAAGUGUAAGUAACAUCAGAAAGGUCCCAUUAAAAGUGACCGCUAUUGUAAACUGCCUUUAGUAGUAUAUGAUAGAUUAUGUUAUUGUUCUCAAGUCCUCUCUGCUUCUGUGUAACAGGAUUAUAUAUCUAUAGCCAUGUGGAUAUGACAUUGCAGCGUCAUCCAGUAGCAUUCUACAAAGUAUGCAUCCCUGCUCCGAUGUCUUCAGGCUGGGUCAUGAUAUGCUUUGGCCAGUGGAACAUUAACAGAUGUGAUGUGAGUGAGGCUUUAAAUGUGCUUGCAGAGUUUGGCCUAGGUUCCUGAGCUUCUGUUAGCUGCCAUGAGGUAGCAGCCAUCUGUUCUGGUAACCAUUGGUCCUAGAGUGAGAGACAUGCAGAGCAGACCUGAACUUGAAGUCGAGUCAACCCAGCAGGUGUGCAGACCCAUGAGUGAGAAAUGAAUGUCUGCUGUUGAGAGUCACUAAGAUUUGGGGGUUAUCUGUUAUGCAAAAGCUUGACUAAUACUGUCGAAUUCAUCCCUUAUUAGUUAUGGUGAGAUUUGUGUAGCCCUCCUAUGCUAAUAAUAUAACAACUGGAAAUCUCAUUAGGUUUUGAAAGAAAUGAUAUGGAUUACCACAGGUAACCUGUAAAUGUAACAUAUUUAUACUGCUUUAUGAGUAUAGUCAUAAGUUUGAGAAAAGUCUAUUUAUCUUUUUCACAGAGCUGUUCUAAAGCCUUGAAAUCACAUUUUCUGUGGAUUUAUUGUCCAAUUGUAUAAAAGACACUUGGUUGCUGUUAAAAUGGAUGAGCUGAACUUCUAUGCUUCUCCAAUCCUCUACUACUCUUGUCUGAUGCAUGGGGUGAAAUGAUUUUCUGUAUGCAUUCUGUUUGUGAUUGCUAAGUCUUGAAAUGCAAAUGUAUUUUUACCUACAAAGUGGGAAUCUUUUGUUGAUAUAAAAUUUUGCUGUAGUAACUAAUCUAAAUCUAUACAAGUUUGGUGUUAUUUCCUAUGGGUAUUUAGAAUCUGAUUAUAUUAGUGAAGGUGUAUAAUUUCCUUAAAGCAAGGUUUCUUAACAGUGGCACUAUUGACAUUUCGGGCUAAUUACUUGCGUGGGGAGCUGUCUGUGCAUUUUGCAAUGUUUAGCAUCCCUGGCCCCUGCAAGUUAGAUGCCAGUAGCACAUCCCCAGACCCUAUUCUCCUUACCCUGUGCGGUCAUGACAAUCAAAAAUGUCUUCAGCCAUUGCCAAAUGUCCUCUGGGAGGCAAAAAUCAUCCCAUUUGAGAAUGACUGCCUUAUGAGGGGAGCUCUAAUGCAGUGGUUUUCAUAACUAGUUACACAUUAUAAUACUGUAGUAAGCCUUUUUUUUUAAAAAAGUCUUAUUUUGAGAUAAUUUCAAAAUUACUGAAAAAUUGCAAUAACAAUACACAGAACUCUCAUGUACCA
Molecule: long non-coding RNA, 2464 nt
Filed under: Homo sapiens (human)
Lineage: Eukaryota; Metazoa; Chordata; Mammalia; Primates; Hominidae
Description: HSALNT0307962
Source: RNAcentral